GGGUGACUGCGUACCUUUUGUAUAAUGGGUCAGCGACUUAUAUUCUGUAGCAAGGUUAACCGUAUAGGGGAGCCGCAGGGAAACCGAGUCUUAACUGGGCGUUAAGUUGCAGGGUAUAGACCCGAAACCCGGUGAUCUAGCCAUGGGCAGGUUGAAGGUUGGGUAACACUAACUGGAGGACCGAACCGACUAAUGUUGAAAAAUUAGCGGAUGACUUGUGGCUGGGGGUGAAAGGCCAAUCAAACCGGGAGAUAGCUGGUUCUCCCCGAAAGCUAUUUAGGUAGCGCCUCGUGAA
RNAcentral lists this ribosomal RNA (295 nucleotides) under Klebsiella oxytoca. RNAcentral's name for it is "partial 23S ribosomal RNA". It matches the Rfam family "Bacterial large subunit ribosomal RNA", at positions 591 to 888 of the family's 2925-position model. RNAcentral also lists the same sequence under 1 other name. Lineage: Bacteria; Pseudomonadati; Pseudomonadota; Gammaproteobacteria; Enterobacterales; Enterobacteriaceae. The record is from RNAcentral.